This 154-nucleotide microRNA precursor is filed under the name Leersia perrieri. Its description in RNAcentral is "pre miRNA MIR167_1". It matches the Rfam family "MIR167 microRNA precursor family". The record is from RNAcentral. Lineage: Eukaryota; Viridiplantae; Streptophyta; Magnoliopsida; Poales; Poaceae.
CAUCUUAAGCAGCUGAAGCUGCCAGCAUGAUCUGAUCUUUAAUUCUUUCGUUUUUACUUGACUUCUGAAUAAAUUGGUUGGAAUUACUGGGUCAAUCCGUUCCUAUUUACAUAGAUUGAUCAGAUCGUGCUGCGCAGUUUCAUCUGCUAAUCGG